This 434-nucleotide ribosomal RNA is filed under the name uncultured Pseudobutyrivibrio sp. RNAcentral describes it as "partial 16S ribosomal RNA". It matches the Rfam family "Bacterial small subunit ribosomal RNA", at positions 341 to 792 of the family's 1533-position model. Lineage: Bacteria; Bacillati; Bacillota; Clostridia; Lachnospirales; Lachnospiraceae. The record is from RNAcentral.
ACGGAAGGCAGCAGUGGGGAAUAUUGGACAAUGGAGGAAACUCUGAUCCAGCGACGCCGCGUGAGUGAAGAAGUAUUUCGGUAUGUAAAGCUCUAUCAGCAGGGAAGAUAAUGACGGUACCUGACUAAGAAGCACCGGCUAAAUACGUGCCAGCAGCCGCGGUAAUACGUAUGGUGCAAGCGUUAUCCGGAUUUACUGGGUGUAAAGGGAGCGUAGGCGGUUUUACAAGUCUGAUGUGAAAGCCCGGGGCUCAACUCCGGUAUUGCAUUGGAAACUGUAGAACUAGAGUGUCGGAGGGGUAAGUGGAAUUCCUAGUGUAGCGGUGAAAUGCGUAGAUAUUAGGAGGAACACCAGUGGCGAAGGCGGCUUACUGGACGAUUACUGACGCUGAGGCUCGAAAGCGUGGGGAGCAAACAGGAUUAGAUACCCUGGUA